AGAAGGGAAGUCAUCCUUGUUUCCGCCCUACCCCUCUGAGAUAGGGAAGAAUUCACAACAGUCAGUUAAAAGUCUGGCUCUGGCCAGUAAAGAUGCAACAGCUCCUGUGUCACUCUACUAUUCCACCUAGAUUAGUAAAGUUUAAGCGGUUGUCCAAAGUCUCAGCAUUUUAGAAUUAAUUUCUCGGUGCCCGGAUGCAGAUGACUGCUCCAUUGGAGUCAUGCAGUAUAGUUCUUUGGCCUUUUGUAUCCUGAAAGACCUCACCUGUUGAAGACCCCUGGCUCUGUUAAUGAGUGUUAUGACUGAAUUAGUCUACUGCUGCCAAUUUUACACACAUUAUGCAAAGAUAUCCAAAAGGUACAUCUCCCCUCCAAAGUAUUCUACGGCCAAGAAUGCUACAAAUCUUUUUAGGUGGAUUUUGGACUUUUUGGAGAGCCGGCAUCAG
Molecule: long non-coding RNA, 445 nt
Organism: Hyla sarda
Lineage: Eukaryota; Metazoa; Chordata; Amphibia; Anura; Hylidae
Exons: 3
Source: RefSeq, a predicted model, not a curated record